AGCAUGCAACUGUAAGCAAAUCUCUUAAAGUUGUCCUCAGUGGGGAUUGAGGUCUGCAACUCGACCUCAUGAACGUGGAAUUGGUAGUAAUCGCGGGUCAGCUACACCGCGGUGAAUACGUUCUUGCCUCUUGCACACACCGCCCGUCAAGCCAACAAAGUCGAUGAUAUUUGAACCCCGAUUUAAUCGGGGGAGGAUAUUACCGGCGAUGGGGGUUAAGUCGUAACAAGGUAACCGUUCUGGAAGGAGCGGUUGGAUCACCUCCUUU
This 268-nucleotide ribosomal RNA is filed under the name Candidatus Roizmanbacteria bacterium. RNAcentral's name for it is "partial 16S ribosomal RNA". It matches the Rfam family "Bacterial small subunit ribosomal RNA", at positions 1252 to 1533 of the family's 1533-position model. Lineage: Bacteria; Candidatus Roizmaniibacteriota. The record is from RNAcentral.